GCUCCGGUGGUACAGUGGAUAGCACGGCCCCCUCCUAAGGGGCAGGUCGCAGGUUCGAUUCCUGCCCGGAGCGCCA
Molecule: transfer RNA, 76 nt
Filed under: Pseudomonadales bacterium
Lineage: Bacteria; Pseudomonadati; Pseudomonadota; Gammaproteobacteria; Pseudomonadales
Description: tRNA-Arg
Rfam family: tRNA
About the family: Transfer RNA (tRNA) molecules are approximately 80 nucleotides in length. Their secondary structure includes four short double-helical elements and three loops (D, anti-codon, and T loops). Further hydrogen bonds mediate the characteristic L-shaped molecular structure. tRNAs have two regions of fundamental functional importance: the anti-codon, which is responsible for specific mRNA codon recognition, and the 3' end, to which the tRNAs corresponding amino acid is attached (by aminoacyl-tRNA synthetases). tRNAs cope with the degeneracy of the genetic code in two manners: having more than one tRNA (with a specific anti-codon) for a particular amino acid; and 'wobble' base-pairing, i.e. permitting non-standard base-pairing at the 3rd anti-codon position.
Source: RNAcentral